GCUGCUCUCCUUCCCUUCUCUUUCAGGUGCGGAGACCCCAAGGCGCGGCCUCGCCCUCGUGGGGCUGCAGGGAUGCAGUGGGGUCCUGGCAGGGGGCGGCUCACAGCGGCUUCUCUUGGAGUCCUUGUCAGCACAGCUCAGGGCCAGAGCUCACAAGCGGAUCCAGACCCGGCCCCAGUGCUGGGCCUCACCCAGGAGAGUUUGCUGGCUAAAGGGCUUCAGACCUGCUCGGCCCUGUGAUGCCCUGGGCCCUCCAGGAUUUCAGAUCAGCUCGGGGUGCCCUCCCUCCGGGCCCACAGCCUGGCACACGCGCUACUGCAGCGCCUCAGCGCCGACCUCGCUAGUUCCCCAGCACAAAAUGCGAAAUGCUGGGUGUUGGGUCAGCGCCCACAGGCAGAAAUGCCUUUAAGGAGCUCCCAGCCUAGAAGAGGACCUGACAGCCAGCUUUCCCAUUGUCCACUGAGUAUGAAUGCUGUUCAUUUAUAACCCAACUGAGAAAACGUGGAUUUAAAAAAAAACAGAAUUACCAAAUGUAAUGUUUUUCUAAGACGUCAUCUAUCGAAUGAAGUGAUUCUGGUUGGAUUGGUCUUUCAAGACCUUCCUUUGUGAUUAGUUAUUUCCUUAAAUUUUUUAUUUUUUAUUAAAAUAAUGUGUCAAUUGCAUAAAAUUCAGAAGAAGAUAUCAAGGUGUAAGAAGAGUUUGUAGUUAUCCAUAAACCUGUCAGGUAGUGAUAAUCACUGACUAUUUUGGUAUUUUUCAUUCAUUUUGUCUGGAUACAUACAUAAAUGUAUAUAAAUAAAUAUGUGCAGAUAUGGAA
Molecule: non-coding RNA, 817 nt
Organism: Vicugna pacos (alpaca)
Lineage: Eukaryota; Metazoa; Chordata; Mammalia; Artiodactyla; Camelidae
Source: RefSeq, a predicted model, not a curated record